RNAcentral lists this long non-coding RNA (596 nucleotides) under Manihot esculenta (cassava). Its description in RNAcentral is "long non-coding RNA (MESC_LNC003049)". Lineage: Eukaryota; Viridiplantae; Streptophyta; Magnoliopsida; Malpighiales; Euphorbiaceae. The record is from RNAcentral.
UUUAUUUCGUUGUUUAUAUAAUUUUUUGUGUUUUCUUUUUAUUGUUGCGGAUGCAUAUCGAUUUUUGUCAAUUCCCUUUGCAUGGAAGGGCUGAUAGGCACGACAAUGGAAAGAGGGAGCUUCAGCUAGAAGAUGUAAACUAAUUGGAUCGAAAGUAGGGAGAUACAUGCGAUAUCCAAUACACAAAGGCAAAAAAAAAAAAAAUAUCUCUCCAAUAUCUGAAGUAGAGAGACACCACUGUACGCAGAAAAGAUAGAAGAAGAUCUCAUCACAGCAGAGAGAAGCACCAGCCAUGAGAGGGCGGCAGAUCUAAGGCAUUAACAAAGGCAGAGAUGAGGAUCCUCUUCGGCGAUCCACUCAAGCCUUCCAGAACCUUUAAUUUCCAUGAAUUCUCCAUCGAAGACUACACUCUAUUGUUGAGAUUUGACAACAGAUGAGAAACGCAAUGUGUACCCAACAAACGGGGUGCAAGCAGGAGCAACUAGAGACAGAGAUGAGUUGAUGUAGCGCUGCAAACCUGCAUGCAAAUAUCAAACGAAAAAGUAAAUAAAGCCACAGCAACACACUGAAUAGAUGAAAACCAAAUCCCACUCAUA